Molecule: ribosomal RNA, 133 nt
Filed under: uncultured bacterium
Lineage: Bacteria
Description: partial 16S ribosomal RNA
Source: RNAcentral
GUACCGUCACACUUCGGGGGUAUUAACCCCGAAGCUUUCUUCCCAAUCUGACAGAGCUUUACAACCCAUAGGGCCUUCUUCGCUCACGCGGCAUCGCUCGGUCAGGCUUUCGCCCAUUGCCGAAGCUUCUCGA